Molecule: long non-coding RNA, 451 nt
Organism: Brassica napus (rape)
Lineage: Eukaryota; Viridiplantae; Streptophyta; Magnoliopsida; Brassicales; Brassicaceae
Exons: 2
Source: RefSeq, a predicted model, not a curated record
UCUUCUUAAACCUCUGUAAAGCUCGUGGAGCAGAGUACGUAAGCCAAUCAACCACCAUUGCUACUUUUUCAUAUUCAGCUUCUUCCUCGUUCUAUAUCUGUUAGAAGAUGAUUACUUUCUAGCAGAAGUUUCCAACUUUGGGGUAUGAGCUUGGAAGGUAACUAGCUCACAUUCCGUGUGUGUGUGGGACUGUGAAGUGGCGAGAGCUUUUUGAACUCGAUACUGGACACUUCCGUUGAUGCUGGUAUUUCCAUAAACGGUCUCAACUGAUUGGUGUUGGUAACCGCUGGGGAAUUGAAGAAGGAGACGCGUCAACAAGUGACCGACCACUUGCUUGCAAGAACCUGGACAAUUUUUGGAUUGGAAUCAUCACAUCUUAGUCGGUUGUUUUCUCAGGCUCUUUGUUUCGUGUAAUAUGAAACAGGUACAUAAUAGAAAGAAAGAUUCUACA